This 302-nucleotide ribosomal RNA is filed under the name uncultured bacterium. Its description in RNAcentral is "partial 16S ribosomal RNA". It matches the Rfam family "Bacterial small subunit ribosomal RNA", at positions 508 to 807 of the family's 1533-position model. The record is from RNAcentral.
GCAGCCGCCGCGGUAACACGAAGGGUGCAAGCGUUACUCGGAAUUACUGGGCGUAAAGCGUGCGUAGGUGGUGGUUUAAGUCCGUUGUGAAAGCCCUGGGCUCAACCUGGGAAUUGCAGUGGAUACUGGGUCACUAGAGUGUGGUAGAGGAUAGUGGAAUUUCCGGUGUAGCAGUGAAAUGCGUAGAGAUCGGAAGGAACAUCUGUGGCGAAGGCGACUAUCUGGGCCAACACUGACACUGAGGCACGAAAGCGUGGGGAGCAAACAGGAUUAGAUACCCCAGUAGUCCCUGUCUCUUAUAC